Molecule: ribosomal RNA, 232 nt
Filed under: uncultured bacterium
Lineage: Bacteria
Description: partial 16S ribosomal RNA
Rfam family: Bacterial small subunit ribosomal RNA
Source: RNAcentral
UACGAAGGGGGCUAGCGUUGUUCGGAAUUACUGGGCGUAAAGCGCACGUAGGCGGAUAUUUAAGUCAGGGGUGAAAUCCCAGAGCUCAACUCUGGAACUGCCUUUGAUACUGGGUAUCUUGAGUAUGGAAGAGGUAAGUGGAAUUGCGAGUGUAGAGGUGAAAUUCGUAGAUAUUCGCAGGAACACCAGUGGCGAAGGCGGCUUACUGGUCCAUAACUGACGCUGAGGUGCG